GGGGUUGACUGGUUUUGACAGCGAGAUGAAGUGGUUUGUAAGCAUGCGGUGCGUAGUCGGCUGGCACUUUAAUCUCAGACGUCAAAAUUUUAACUGGCGAAAAUAAUUACGCUCUUGCUGCUUAAUCGAAGUAUAGUAGAUAUAGCUUAAUCCCUGUACAAGGUACGGGGACAAGACAUCACCCGGAGGCUGUGGCUCCGAAGCGCUUCGAAGCGGUGGUGUAGGUAAAUCGGAGAUAGGAAAGGAGAAGCUUUGGCUCCUUUUCGAAAUAAAAAAGCUAAGGUUUGGGUUGGUGGCUUCGGUCUUGCCCACUCCCUACAAUGAAGACGAAGAUAAGCAUGUAGAAAGCAAAUUAGUUCCUUGUUUGGACGAGGGUUCGAAUCCCUCCAGCUCCACAA
RNAcentral lists this transfer-messenger RNA (398 nucleotides) under Dysgonomonas sp. PH5-45. It matches the Rfam family "transfer-messenger RNA". From Rfam's summary of the family: Bacterial tmRNA, also known as 10Sa RNA or SsrA, is named for its dual tRNA and mRNA-like properties. Its role is to liberate the mRNA from a stalled ribosome. To accomplish this part of the tmRNA is used as a reading frame that ends in a translation stop signal. The record is from RNAcentral. RNAcentral also lists the same sequence under 1 other name. Lineage: Bacteria; Pseudomonadati; Bacteroidota; Bacteroidia; Bacteroidales; Dysgonomonadaceae.